Centruroides sculpturatus (bark scorpion) is the source of this 203-nucleotide long non-coding RNA. RefSeq lists it as uncharacterized. Lineage: Eukaryota; Metazoa; Arthropoda; Arachnida; Scorpiones; Buthidae. The transcript is spliced from 2 exons. The record is from RefSeq and is a predicted model, not a curated record.
CUUCUAUCGCAAAUAUUUGAAUUUGAUUUUAUAGAGGCAACGUGAUAGCUUGUUUAUAAAUUGAAACCAUGAGCUCUAAUGUAAUACAAAUACAAGAGAUUCAUAACUGGUUGAAAAUUAUUUAUCAAAAUGAAAAUAUACCAACAUUUGAAAUUAAUAACAGGACUUUAAACAUUCUUUCUUCUAUAAUGACUCGCUAUCAA